This 524-nucleotide ribosomal RNA is filed under the name uncultured bacterium. RNAcentral's name for it is "bacterial SSU rRNA". It matches the Rfam family "Bacterial small subunit ribosomal RNA", at positions 31 to 553 of the family's 1533-position model. The record is from RNAcentral.
GAACGCUAGCGGCAGGCUUAAUACAUGCAAGUCGAAGGGUAACAUGGUAGCAAUACUGAUGACGACUGGCGCACGGGUGCGUAACACGUAUGCAACCUACCUUUAACUGGAGCAUAGCCCCUCGAAAGAGGGAUUAAUACUCCAUAACAUAAUGAAAAGGCAUCUUUUUAUUAUUAAACCUCCGGGGGUUAAAGAUGGGCAUGCGGUGCAUUAGCUAGUUGGUGAGGUAAUGGCUCACCAAGGCUACGAUGCAUAGGGGUUCUGAGAGGAUAUACCCCCACACUGGUACUGAGACACGGACCAGACUCCUACGGGAGGCAGCAGUAAGGAAUAUUGGACAAUGGUGGCAACACUGAUCCAGCCAUGCCGCGUGCAGGAUGACGGCCCUAUGGGUUGUAAACUGCUUUUGUACGGGAAAAAACCCUCGUCGUGAACGAGGCUGAUGGUACCGUAAGAAUAAGGAUCGGCUAACUCCGUGCCAGCAGCCGCGGUAAUACGGAGGAUCCAAGCGUUAUCCGGAUUUU